UACGUAGGAGGCGAGCGUUGUCCGGAUUUACUGGGCGUAAAGCGCGCGCAGGCGGCACUUCAAGUAAGGUGUGAAAUCUCCCUGCUCAACGGGGAGGGUGCACUUUAGACUGAGGAGCUAGAGGAUGGUAGAGGGGGGUGGAAUUGCUGGUGUAGCGGUGAAAUGCGUAGAGAUCAGCAGGAACACCCGUGGCGAAGGCGGCCCCCUGGGCCGUACCUGACGCUGAGGCGCGAAGGCUAGGGGAGCAAACGGG
This 253-nucleotide ribosomal RNA is filed under the name uncultured bacterium. RNAcentral describes it as "partial 16S ribosomal RNA". It matches the Rfam family "Bacterial small subunit ribosomal RNA", at positions 524 to 776 of the family's 1533-position model. The record is from RNAcentral.